AGAGUUUGAUCAUGGCUCAGAACAAACGCCAGCGGCGUGCCUAACACAUGCAAGUCGAACGAGAAAUCCUGAGCAAUCGGGAGAGUAAAGUGGCGCACGGGUGAGUAACGCGUGGGUAAUCUACCCGGGAGAUGGGAAUAACACCUCGAAAGGGGUGCUAAUACCCGAUAAGACUCCGGGGACUCCGGUCUUCGGGAUAAAAUGGUGGCCUCUGCUCGCAAGCUAUCGCUCCAGGAUGAGCCCGCGUACCAUUAGCUAGUUGGUGAGGUAAUGGCUCACCAAGGCAAUGAUGGUUAGCUGGUCUGAGAGGAUGGCCAGCCACACUGGAACUGAAAUACGGUCCAGACUCCUACGGGAGGCAGCAGUGAGGAAUCUUGCGCAAUGGGGGAAAUCCUGACGCAGCAACGCCGCGUGAGUGAUGAAGGCCUUCGGGUCGUAAAGCUCUGUCAGAUGGGAAGAAGGUUCCAGCGGUGAAUAAUUGUUGGAAUUGACGGUACCGUUAGAGGAAGCACCGGCUAACUCCGUGCCAGCAGCCGCGGUAAUACGGAGGGUGCAAGCGUUGUUCGGAAUUAUUGGGCGUAAAGAGCGUGUAGGCGGCCUUGUAAGUCAGAUGUGAAAUACCUUGGCUUAACCAAGGAAGGGCAUUUGAAACUGCUUGNCUUGAGUACGGGAGGGGGAAGUGGAAUUCCCGGUGUAGAGGUGAAAUUCGUAGAUAUCGGGAGGAACACCGGUGGCGAAGNNGGCUUUCUGGACCGAUACUGACGCUGAGACGCGAAAGCGUGGGGAGCAAACAGGAUUAGAUACCCUGNAGUCCACGCCCUAAACGUUGGGCACUAGGNGNUNNGGGUAUUGACCCCUGCAGUGCCGAANCU
Molecule: ribosomal RNA, 872 nt
Filed under: uncultured bacterium
Lineage: Bacteria
Description: bacterial SSU rRNA
Rfam family: Bacterial small subunit ribosomal RNA
Source: RNAcentral